UCAGAACGAACGCUGGCGGCAGGCCUAACACAUGCAAGUCGAACGAUAUAGUGGCAGACGGGUGAGUAACGCGUGGGAACGUACCUUUCACUACGGAAUAGCUCCGGGAAACUGGUGGUAAUACCGUAUACGCCCUUAGGGGGAAAGAUUUAUCGGUGAAAGAUCGGCCCGCGUUGGAUUAGCUAGUUGGUGAGGUAAUGGCUCACAAAGGCGACGAUCCAUAGCUGGUCUGAGAGGAUGAUCAGCCACACUGGGACUGAGACACGGCCCAGACUCUACGGGAGGCAGCAGUGGGGAAUCUUGCACAAUGGGGCGAAAGCCUGAUGCAGCCAUGCCGCGUGAAUGAUGAAGGCCUUAGGGUUGUAAAAUUCUUUCGUCAGGGAUGAUAAUGACCGUACCUGAAGAAGAAGCCCCGGCUAACUUCGUGCCAGCAGCCGCGGUAAUACGAAGGGGGCUAGCGUUGUUCGGAAUUACUGGGCGUAAAGCGCACGUAGGCGGACUUUUAAGUCAGGUGUGAAAUCCCGGMGCUCAACCUCGGAACUGCAUUUGAAACUGGAAGUCUUGAGACCAGGAGAGGUUAGCGGAAUACCGAGUGCAGAGGUGAAAUUCGUAGAUAUUCGGUGGAACACCAGUGGCGAAGGCGGCUAUCUGGACUGGUACU
This 661-nucleotide ribosomal RNA is filed under the name Hyphomicrobiaceae bacterium AP-34. Its description in RNAcentral is "bacterial SSU rRNA". It matches the Rfam family "Bacterial small subunit ribosomal RNA", at positions 24 to 741 of the family's 1533-position model. The record is from RNAcentral. Lineage: Bacteria; Pseudomonadati; Pseudomonadota; Alphaproteobacteria; Hyphomicrobiales; Hyphomicrobiaceae.